GACGAACCGAGCGAACGUUAUUCGGAAUCACUGGGCUUAAAGGGCGCGUAGGCGGCCCUGGUAAGUCUGCGGUGAAAGCCCGGGGCUCAACCCCGGGUCGGCCGCGGGUACUGCCGGGCUGGAGUGCCGUAGGGGCAGGCGGAAUUCCGGGUGUAGCGGUGGAAUGCGUAGAGAUCCGGAAGAACACCGGUGGCGAAGGCGGCCUGCUGGGCGGCGACUGACGCUGAGGCGCGACAGCGUGGGGAGCAAACAGG
Molecule: ribosomal RNA, 254 nt
Filed under: uncultured bacterium
Lineage: Bacteria
Description: partial 16S ribosomal RNA
Rfam family: Bacterial small subunit ribosomal RNA
Source: RNAcentral